AGUGGCCUGGCUGCGUUGGGCCGGGCUGUAAGGUGGUGGUGAUAGUUUCUGGGUGUUGGUCUAGGUGGAGAGGCAGAGGCAGGAAGAGCCUGCAGUGGAGGAGUGGCUGUGGUUGUUGAGGUGGUGCCCCUGCUAGGCCAUGCCCAGGUUCCGGAGAGGGCGGAGUAGAUAACAGCGGAGCCGCUCUGCCCUCCCUACAGACACAGGAAGCAUCCCAAUAGACUACCAGGAGGACACAAGCAGUGCCAGCACACCACGAUUGACAGAAGCCUCAAGAUGGAUAACAGAGCAGCCACAUUUUAGGAGAUGGAGUAGAUCGAAGGACAGCACAUUGACAUUACAUUUCAUGACACAAAAAAAGAAAAAGAAAAAAAAUCAGGUGAGGGUUGUAAAAAAACAAGAAUGUUAAGGGUUUGAUAGUUAACCUGGCGGCUGCAUGGGGCCCAGAACCCAUUCAAUAACCUGGACUUGAACACAUCCAGUUGUUUGUCUUUCACAAAGAAAUCCAUUAGAAAGUUCCCUCUCCCUGGGUUUACAAUGCGUUUGCCUUGUACCACAUAAAUCAUGCCCAGACUAGGCCCCCUGCCUACUGUGCUCUCCCAUUUGUCAUGCUUAUUCACAAAAACACCCA
RNAcentral lists this long non-coding RNA (631 nucleotides) under Salmo salar (Atlantic salmon). RNAcentral describes it as "lncRNA (ENSSSAG00000090030.1, ENSSSAG00075067356.1)". Lineage: Eukaryota; Metazoa; Chordata; Actinopteri; Salmoniformes; Salmonidae. The record is from RNAcentral.